This 492-nucleotide ribosomal RNA is filed under the name uncultured bacterium. Its description in RNAcentral is "partial 16S ribosomal RNA". It matches the Rfam family "Bacterial small subunit ribosomal RNA", at positions 29 to 507 of the family's 1533-position model. The record is from RNAcentral.
AGUGAACGCUGGCGGUAGGCCUAACACAUGCAAGUCGAACGGCAGCACAGUAAGGGCUUGCUCUUACGGGUGGCGAGUGGCGGACGGGUGAGGAAUACAUCGGAAUCUACUUUUUCGUGGGGGAUAACGUAGGGAAACUUACGCUAAUACCGCAUACGACCUACGGGUGAAAGCAGGGGAUCUUCGGACCUUGCGCGAUUGAAUGAGCCGAUGUCGGAUUAGCUAGUUGGCGGGGUAAAGGCCCACCAAGGCGACGAUCCGUAGCUGGUCUGAGAGGAUGAUCAGCCACACUGGAACUGAGACACGGUCCAGACUCCUACGGGAGGCAGCAGUGGGGAAUAGUGGACAAUGGGCGCAAGCAUGAUCCAGCCAUACCGCGUGGGUGAAGAAGGCGUUCGGGUUGUAAAGACCUUUUGUUGGGAAAGAAAAGCAGCAGGUUAAUACCCAGCUGUUCUGACGGUACCCAAAGAAUAAGCACCGGCUAACUUCGUG